This 210-nucleotide non-coding RNA is filed under the name Anaerococcus vaginalis. RNAcentral describes it as "T-box sequence". It matches the Rfam family "T-box leader". From Rfam's summary of the family: Uncharged tRNA acts as the effector for transcription antitermination of genes in the T-box leader family. T-boxes are found upstream of many aminoacyl-tRNA synthetase genes and some amino acid biosynthetic genes usually in Gram-positive bacteria. The record is from RNAcentral. Lineage: Bacteria; Bacillati; Bacillota; Tissierellia; Tissierellales; Peptoniphilaceae.
AUCAAUACGAAGAAGAGUUUAGUAAAUUAAAAAAUAUUAAUCCCAGAGAGGUUUCGUUUGCUGAAAGAAACUAUGAUAUUUUUAAUUGAAUAGAGGCUUGGAGUUGGAAGUAUAAUACAUAAGCUUCCCGUUGACUGCGUUUUAGUCUUACUAAUGAGGCAAAAUUUAUUUUGCGAAUUAGGGUGGCAACACGUUUAUAUCGUCCCUUUA